UACGGGGGGGGCAAGCGUUGUUCGGAAUUACUGGGCGUAAAGGGCUCGUAGGCGGCCAACUAAGUCGGACGUGAAAUCCCCAGGCUCAACCUGGGAACUGCGUCCGAUACUGGAUGGCUUGAAUCCGGGAGAGGAUAGUGGAAUUCCCAGUGUAGCGGUGAAAUGCGUAGAUAUUGGGAGGAACACCGGUGGCGAAGGCGGCUAUCUGGACCGGUACUGACGCUGAUACGCGAAAGCCAGGGGAGCAAACGGG
RNAcentral lists this ribosomal RNA (253 nucleotides) under uncultured bacterium. RNAcentral describes it as "partial 16S ribosomal RNA". It matches the Rfam family "Bacterial small subunit ribosomal RNA", at positions 524 to 776 of the family's 1533-position model. The record is from RNAcentral.